This 487-nucleotide ribosomal RNA is filed under the name uncultured bacterium. RNAcentral's name for it is "bacterial SSU rRNA". It matches the Rfam family "Bacterial small subunit ribosomal RNA", at positions 10 to 488 of the family's 1533-position model. The record is from RNAcentral.
UAUUUGAUCAUGGCUCAGAGUGCCACGCUGGUUUGUAGGCCUAACACAUGCAAGUCGAACGGCAGCACAGGAGAGCUUGCUCUCUGGGUGGCGAGUGGCGGACGGGUGAGGAAUACAUCGGAAUCUACUCUGUCGUGGGGGAUAACGUAGGGAAACUUACGCUAAUACCGCAUACGACCUACGGGUGAAAGCAGGGGGAUCUUCGGACCUUGCGCGAUUGAAUGAGCCGAUGUCGGAUUAGCUAGUUGGCGGGGUAAAGGCCCACCAAGGCGACGAUCCGUAGCUGGUCUGAGAGGAUGAUCAGCCACACUGGAACUGAGACACGGUCCAGACUCCUACGGGAGGCAGCAGUGGGGAAUAUUGGACAAUGGGCGCAAGCCUGAUCCAGCCAUACCGCGUGGGUGAAGAAGGCCUUCGGGUUGUAAAGCCCUUUUGUAGGGAAAGAAAUCCAGCCGGCUAAUACCUGUUGGAUGACGACCAAAUAACA